This 256-nucleotide ribosomal RNA is filed under the name uncultured bacterium. RNAcentral describes it as "partial 16S ribosomal RNA". It matches the Rfam family "Bacterial small subunit ribosomal RNA", at positions 524 to 774 of the family's 1533-position model. The record is from RNAcentral.
UACGAAGGGGGCUAGCGUUGCUCGGAAUCACUGGGCGUAAAGCGCACGUAGGCGGAUCUUUAAGUCAGGGGUGAAAUCCCAAGGCUCAACCUUGGAACUGCCUUUGAUACUGGGGGAUCUCGAGUCCGGAAGAGGUUGGUGGAACUGCGAGUGUAGAGGUGAAAUUCGUAGAUAUUCGCAAGAACACCAGUGGCGAAGGCGGCCAACUGGUCCGGAACUGAACGCGUGAGGUGGCGAAAAGCGUGGGGAGCAAACA